AUUGAACGCUGGCGGCAGGCCUAACACAUGCAAGUCGAGCGGAAACGAGUUAUCUGAACCUUCGGGGAAGGAUAACGGCGUCGAGCGGCGGACGGGUGAGCAAUGCCUAGGAAAUUGCCCUGAUGUGGGGGAUAACCAUUGGAAACGAUGGCUAAUACCGCAUGAUGCCUACGGGCCAAAGAGGGGGACCUUCGGGCCUCUCGCGGCAGGAUAUGCCUAGGUGGGAUUAGCUAGUUGGUGAGGUAAGGGCUCACCAAGGCGACGAUCCCUAGCUGGUCUGAGAGGAUGAUCAGCCACACUGGAACUGAGACACGGUCCAGACUCCUACGGGAGGCAGCAGUGGGGAAUAUUGCACAAUGGGCGCAAGCCUGAUGCAGCCAUGCCGCGUGUGUGAAGAAGGCCUUCGGGUUGUAAAGCACUUUCAGUCGUGAGGAAGGCGGGUACGUUAAUAGCGUAUUCGUUUGACGUUAGCGACAGAAGAAGCACCGGCUAACUCCGUGCCAGCCGCCGCAGUAACAC
This 519-nucleotide ribosomal RNA is filed under the name uncultured bacterium. Its description in RNAcentral is "bacterial SSU rRNA". It matches the Rfam family "Bacterial small subunit ribosomal RNA", at positions 30 to 526 of the family's 1533-position model. The record is from RNAcentral.